CCGGCGGCUCGAGUGGUAACCGUUAUUAUUGGGUCUAAAGGGUCUGUAGCCGGCCGGAUAAGUCUCUUGAGAAAUCUGGCAGCUUAACUGUCAGGCUUUCAGGAGAUACUGUCUGGCUCGAGGCCGGGAGAGGUGAGAGGUACUUCAGGGGUAGGGGUGAAAUCUUGUAAUCCUUGAAGGACCACCAGUGGCGAAGGCGUCUCACCAGAACGGACCUGACGGCAAGGGACGAAAGCUAGGGGCACGAACCGGAUUAGAUACCCGGGUAGUCCUAGCCGUAAACGAUACUCGCUAGGUGUCGGCCACGGUGCGACCGUUGUCGGUGCCGUAGGGAAGCCGUGAAGCGAGCCACCUGGGAAGUACGGCCGCAAGGCUGAAACUUAAAGGAAUUGGCGGGGGAGCACCACAACGGGUGGAGCUUGCGGUUUAAUUGGAUUCAACGCCGGAAAUCUUACCGGGACCGACAGCAAUAUGAAGGCCAGGCUGAAGACUUUGCCGGAUUAGCUGAGAGGUGGUGCAUGGCCGUCGUCAGUUCGUACUGUGAAGCAUCCUGUUAAGUCAGGCAACGAGCGAGACCCACGCCCACAGUUGCCAGCGUACUCUCCGGAGUGACGGGUACACUGUGGGGACCGCCGCUGCUAAAGCGGAGGAAGGAAUGGGCAACGGUAGGUCAGUAUGCCCCGAAUAUCCCGGGCUACACGCGAGCUACAAUGGUUGGUACAAUGGGUAUCUACCCCGAAAGGGGAUGGAAAUCUCCUAAAGCCAAUCUUAGUUCGGAUUGAGGGCUGCAACUCGCCCUCAUGAAGCUGGAAUCCGUAGUAAUCGCGUUUCAACAGAACGCGGUGAAUACGUCCCUGCUCCUU
Molecule: ribosomal RNA, 863 nt
Filed under: uncultured Methanosaeta sp.
Lineage: Archaea; Methanobacteriati; Methanobacteriota; Methanomicrobia; Methanotrichales; Methanotrichaceae
Description: bacterial SSU rRNA
Rfam family: Archaeal small subunit ribosomal RNA
Source: RNAcentral